CCUACGGGGGGCAGCAGUGGGGAAUAUUGGACAAUGGGCGAAAGCCUGAUCCAGCCAUGCCGCGUGUGUGAAGAAGGCCUUCGGGUUGUAAAGCACUUUCAGUGGGGAAGAAAGCCUUGGGGCUAAUACCCUCGAGGAAGGACAUCACCCACAGAAGAAGCACCGGCUAACUCCGUGCCAGCAGCCGCGGUAAUACGGAGGGUGCGAGCGUUAAUCGGAAUUACUGGGCGUAAAGCGCGCGUAGGCGGUCUGAUAAGCCGGUUGUGAAAGCCCCGGGCUCAACCUGGGAACGGCAUCCGGGGGGGAGGGGAUAAGCGUAGGGAGGGGGAGGUGGAGAGGAGUGUGGAGCGGGGAAAGGCGUGGAGCACCGAGGGAUAGGGGAGCGCGAAGGGGAACAUCAGAAAUGACAAUCACGCUGAGUUAUAAAAGCGUGGGCAGGAGACAGGAUUAGCGAACCCAGGAGAG
RNAcentral lists this ribosomal RNA (465 nucleotides) under Vreelandella stevensii. RNAcentral describes it as "partial 16S ribosomal RNA". It matches the Rfam family "Bacterial small subunit ribosomal RNA", at positions 338 to 794 of the family's 1533-position model. The record is from RNAcentral. Lineage: Bacteria; Pseudomonadati; Pseudomonadota; Gammaproteobacteria; Oceanospirillales; Halomonadaceae.